CAGCCGCCGCGGUAAAACGAAGGGGGCUAGCGUUGUUCGGAUUUACUGGGCGUAAAGGGCGCGUAGGCGGACUGAUAAGUCAGGGGUGAAAUCCCAAGGCUCAACCUUGGAACUGCCUUUGAUACUGUUUGUCUUGAGUUCGAGAGAGGUAAGUGGAACUGCGAGUGUAGAGGUGAAAUUCGUAGAUAUUCGCAAGAACACCAGUGGCGAAGGCGGCUUACUGGCUCGAAACUGACGCUGAGGCGCGAAAGCGUGGGGAGCAAACAGGAUUAGAUACCCCGGUAGUCCCUGUCUCUUAUAC
This 301-nucleotide ribosomal RNA is filed under the name uncultured bacterium. RNAcentral describes it as "partial 16S ribosomal RNA". It matches the Rfam family "Bacterial small subunit ribosomal RNA", at positions 509 to 807 of the family's 1533-position model. The record is from RNAcentral.